Molecule: non-coding RNA, 935 nt
Organism: Pelobates cultripes (western spadefoot toad)
Lineage: Eukaryota; Metazoa; Chordata; Amphibia; Anura; Pelobatidae
Source: the annotation of a GenBank genome assembly
GUAGAAUUAGCAAGCCUUUUCUGUGAGUCUCAAGUGGCAAUGCUUGUUCUAAUUAACUGUUUUACAAUCCUCUUUAGUAAAUUAUAUGUAAUAUCUCGUGUCUAUUGGUUGGGGGUUUUUUGUGUAAUUUUUAAGGGACAAUCCUCUAUUGUGGACAGCGCAUAUCUCCCUAAGCAAUCUGCAAUAAUACUUGAAGUGAGCUAUGAGUAAUGACAAGAGUCUACAGGCUGACUAGGCGAUAUUUAUAUAUACCUUCCUCUCUGGAUUUGUGUUUUUAAAACUUUGUCUGAUUUUAGUCUACCUAGACACUAACAAUUGGUGAGUAGAAAUUUGCCCAGCUUUCCGACCUGCAGGGAUUAAAGUGUACUUCAAGCACAUGCUUGAAAGAUGCUGGACAUGUUAACAUUGUCAAUGCAGAGAAUAAGCAGUUUUAAAAUGCUCUGUGUUUUAAACCGGUAUAUUUGAGGUGUGUGGUCUGUGUUGUGUUUUUUUUUUUUUUUUUGGGGUUGGGUUUUUUUACCUCUCCAAUGCUUACAAUACUUAAGUUACUAACCUGUAAUUCAUAAAUGAACUUCCAGUCAAUAUUAUGGUGCAAAAUGAUUACUAUUGAGGAAAGUGUAUAUAAUAUAUCUUGUGUGUUUGGUUUUUAUUGUUUUCUUUUUUAAAUGUAAUAUUACCAGGACAAUGUGGUGCUAGGAUGUAUUAUUGCACUUGAAUUUUGCUUUAUUCUAGUUACAAUACAUUGUGUUUGAUAGCAGAACACCAUUCUUUGUCCAUAUCAUAAUUUAUAUAAAUACUAACUUUUUAUUUCCUCCAAAUGCCUGUUUCUCCACUCCAGCAACAUACACCAUUUUAAAGGCAUUUAAUGCAUUGUGUGUACUGUUCAGUGCUCAGGUAUUCUAGCAAGUACUGUAGUGCGGUGAAGGCAAUGAGUG